AUACGUAGGGAGCGAGCGUUGUCCGGAAUUACUGGGCGUAAAGGGCGCGUAGGCGGCGCUUCAAGUCGUCUGUCAAAUGGGAGGGCUUAACCCUUUUUCGCAGACGAAACUGGAGAGCUUGAGAAGCAGAGAGGCAAACAGAAUUCCUGGUGUAGCGGUGAAAUGCGUAGAUAUCAGGAAGAAUACCAGUGGCGAAGGCGGUUUGCUGGCUGCAUACUGACGCUGAAGCGCGAAAGCCAGGGGAGCAAACGGGAUUAGAUACCCCGGUAGUCCUGGCAGUAAACGAUGUAUGCUGGGUGUGAGACUAGCGAUAGUUUCGUGCCGAAGUUAACGCGAUAAGCAUACCGCCCGGGGAGUACGGUCGCAAGAUUGAAACUCAAAUGAAUUGACGGGG
This 394-nucleotide ribosomal RNA is filed under the name uncultured bacterium. Its description in RNAcentral is "partial 16S ribosomal RNA". It matches the Rfam family "Bacterial small subunit ribosomal RNA", at positions 523 to 918 of the family's 1533-position model. The record is from RNAcentral.